This 375-nucleotide ribosomal RNA is filed under the name uncultured bacterium. Its description in RNAcentral is "bacterial SSU rRNA". It matches the Rfam family "Bacterial small subunit ribosomal RNA", at positions 29 to 405 of the family's 1533-position model. The record is from RNAcentral.
AUUGAACGCUGGCGGCAUGCCUUACACAUGCAAGUCGAACGGCAGCACGGGAGCAAUCCUGGUGGCGAGUGGCGAACGGGUGAGUAAUAUAUCGGAACGUGCCCAGUAGUGGGGGAUAGCCCGGCGAAAGCCGGAUUAAUACCGCAUGAGACCUGAGGGUGAAAGCGGGGGAUCGCAAGACCUCGCGCUAUUGGAGCGGCCGAUAUCAGAUUAGCUAGUUGGUGGGGUAAAGGCCUACCAAGGCAACGAUCUGUAGUUGGUCUGAGAGGACGACCAGCCACACUGGGACUGAGACACGGCCCAGACUCCUACGGGAGGCAGCAGUGGGGAAUUUUGGACAAUGGGCGCAAGCCUGAUCCAGCAAUGCCGCGUGCA